Molecule: transfer RNA, 72 nt
Filed under: Saccoglossus kowalevskii
Lineage: Eukaryota; Metazoa; Hemichordata; Enteropneusta; Harrimaniidae
Description: tRNA-Glu
Rfam family: tRNA
About the family: Transfer RNA (tRNA) molecules are approximately 80 nucleotides in length. Their secondary structure includes four short double-helical elements and three loops (D, anti-codon, and T loops).
Source: RNAcentral
UCCUAUAUGGUCUAGUGGUUCGGAUUUGGCGCUUUCACAGCCAAGGCCCAGGUUCAAUUCCCGGUGUGGGAA